This 476-nucleotide long non-coding RNA is filed under the name Salmo salar (Atlantic salmon). Its description in RNAcentral is "lncRNA (ENSSSAG00000094573.1, ENSSSAG00000096555.1)". The record is from RNAcentral. Lineage: Eukaryota; Metazoa; Chordata; Actinopteri; Salmoniformes; Salmonidae.
GGACGGACGACGGAUCCAGUCUAACAGACGGACGAAGAUACCACCACGUAUCCAAUUGACCACCAGAGACAUUCUUCCGAGUAACAGGAAGAUCUGUUGGCCAACCCGGCCAGCAUCUACGACCAAUCUACCGAAGCGCAGCUCAGACCAGCCAGCCAGCCAGGUAGAAAAAUGGCAGAAAAAAAGAAAAAAGACAGACAUCAGAGUAUUUUUCAGUACACCAAAACGCAAAGCAGAGCAGGCAACAGAUGGCACACAGACAGCAGAGUUGGGGACAGAUAUGCAGGGACAGACUGGCAGAGACAGGGAGUCUCAGGAAUCCAGUCAACGGUCAGAGAGAGAAGAUCCAUCUGCCUUCAAUUGAGAACAGUCAGAAGUGUCCAUCAUGUGCCAGAGCAACAGCAGAGCAUCGUAAAAUCAUCCCUAAAUCUGCCCCCUCCCUCCAGUCUAAGAUGACGUCCUUCUCAUGUUGCCUG